AACCUCGUCCUCAUGGCUGUCGGGCUGGCCAUGGCGGGCUACGGCGCCUACCUGCUCGUGCUCUGGCUCCAGCUGCUGCCUCCGUCGCCGCCGGCGCCGCCUCCAAGCGGCGACCUAGUGCACCUUGGCCGGCCGAUGCUUCUUCUUAUUGACGUGUCUAUCUCAGAUGGGACCUCGGAGAAGCUCAUCAGCGCAUGGUUUAUUUUUGCAUUUAUAGGUGUCGGUGUUAUACUUUUCAUUACCUCCAUCUUCGGUUGUGCUGGAGCGUCAGCUAGGAGUGGAUGCUGCUUAUCCACUUAUUCAUUCCUCAUCAUUUUGUUCAUACUAGUAGAGCUUGCUGCAGGAUGCUUCAUUUUCUUCGACCAUAGCUGGAAAGAUGUAAUUCCAGUUGAUAAAACUGGUAACUUCGACAUGAUCUACAGUUUCCUGAAAGAAAAUUGGAGAACCGCAAAAUGGGUCGCACUUGGAGCUGUUGUGUUUGAGGCACUGUUGUUCACUGUAGCCCUCAUAGUGCAGUCAGGCAAUCAAGAUGAUUAUGACAGUGAUGAUGAGUACAUUGGCCCGAGGUCCGGAGUCCGUCAGCCAUUGGUGAAUAAGCAAACUGCUACCGAUCCCAGGGUGCCCAAUCUUGACUACCGUCCAAUCAGGAACGAUGCAUGGAGCCAAAGAAUGAGAGACAAGUAUGGGGUGGAUUCCUUUGAUCCAAACAGGUUUCAACAGGCCACGAUAUCUCCCGCAGAACAAAGAAGCAGAUGCACAAUCCUCUGA
Molecule: ribosomal RNA, 768 nt
Filed under: Triticum aestivum (bread wheat)
Lineage: Eukaryota; Viridiplantae; Streptophyta; Magnoliopsida; Poales; Poaceae
Description: partial small subunit ribosomal RNA
Source: RNAcentral